This 293-nucleotide unclassified non-coding RNA is filed under the name uncultured Gammaproteobacteria bacterium. RNAcentral describes it as "contains 16S-23S intergenic spacer region". The record is from RNAcentral. Lineage: Bacteria; Pseudomonadati; Pseudomonadota; Gammaproteobacteria.
GGACUACAGGGGUAUCUAAUCCUGUUUGCUCCCCACGCUUUCGCACCUCAGCGUCAGUAUUGGCCCAGGAAGUCGCCUUCGCCACUGGUGUUCCUUCCGAUAUCUACGCAUUUCACCGCUACACCGGAAAUUCCACUUCCCUCUACCAUACUCUAGUCAGGCAGUAUCGACUGCAAUUCCCAGGUUAAGCCCGGGGCUUUCACAACCGACUUACCAAACCGCCUACGCGCGCUUUACGCCCAGUAAUUCCGAUUAACGCUUGCACCCUCCGUAUUACCGCGGCGGCUGGCACG